GGAUGCGCAGCUACCAUGCAGUCGAGCGGUAACAGAUCCAGCUUGCUGGAUGCUGACGAGCGGCGGACGGGUGAGUAAUGCAUAGGAAUCUGCCCGAUAGUGGGGGAUAACCUGGGGAAACCCAGGGUAAUACCGCAUACGUCCUACGGGAGAAAGGGGGCUGCGGCUCCCGCUAUCGGAUGAGCCUAUGUCGGAUUAGCUAAUUGGUGAGGUAACGGCUCACCAGGGCCACGAUCCGUAGCUGGUCUGAGAGGAUGAUCAGCCACAUCGGGACUGGACACGGCCCGAACUCCUACGGGAGGCAGCAGUGGGGAAUAUUGGACAAUGGGGGGAACCCUGAUCCAGCCAUGCCGCGUGUGUGAAGAAGGCCCUCGGGUUGUAAAGCACUUUCAGCGAGGAAGAACGCCUAACGGUUAAUACCCGCUAGGAAAGACAUCACUCGCAGAAGAAGCACCGGCUAACUCCGUGCCAGCAGCCGCGGUAAUACGGAGGGUGCAAGCGUUAAUCGGAAUUACUGGGCGUAAAGCGCGCGUAGGUGGCUUGAUAAGCCGGUUGUGAAAGCCCCGGGCUCAACCUGGGAACGGCAUCCGGAACUGUCAAGCUAGAGUGCAGGAGAGGAAGGUAGAAUUCCCGGUGUAGCGGUGAAAUGCGUAGAGAUCGGGAGGAAUACCAGUGGCGAAGGCGGCCUUCUGGACUGACACUGACACUGAGGUGCUAAAGCGUGGGUAGCAAACAAGAUUAGUACCU
RNAcentral lists this ribosomal RNA (747 nucleotides) under Vreelandella aquamarina. RNAcentral describes it as "bacterial SSU rRNA". It matches the Rfam family "Bacterial small subunit ribosomal RNA", at positions 41 to 787 of the family's 1533-position model. The record is from RNAcentral. Lineage: Bacteria; Pseudomonadati; Pseudomonadota; Gammaproteobacteria; Oceanospirillales; Halomonadaceae.